Molecule: ribosomal RNA, 508 nt
Filed under: uncultured bacterium
Lineage: Bacteria
Description: partial 16S ribosomal RNA
Rfam family: Bacterial small subunit ribosomal RNA
Source: RNAcentral
GACGAACGCUGGCGGCGUGCCUAAUACAUGCAAGUCGAACGCUUCUUUCCUCCCGAUUGCUUGCACUCAAUUGGGACGAGGGGUGGCGGACGGGUGAGUAACCCGUGGGUAACCUACCCAUCAGCGGGGGAUAACACUUGGAAACAGGUGCUAAUACCGCAUAACACUUUAUGCCGCAUUGCAUAAGAGUGAAAGUCUCUUUCAGGUGUCGCUGAUGGAUGGACCCGCGGUGCAUUAGCUAGUUGGUGAGGUAACGGCUCACCAAGGCCACGAUGCAUAGCCGACCUGAGAGGGUGAUCGGCCACACUGGAACUGAGACACGGUCCAGACUCCUACGGGAGGCAGCAGUAGGGAAUCUUCGGCAAUGGACGAAAGUCUGACCGAGCAACGCCGCGUGAGUGAAGAAGGUCUUCGGAUCGUAAAACUCUGUUGUUAGAGAAGAACAAGGAUGUUAGUAACUGAACGCCUCCUGACGGUAUCUAACCAGAAAGCCACGGCUAACUACGUG